UAAUACGGAGGGGGCUAGCGUUGUUCGGAAUUACUGGGCGUAAAGCGCGCGUAGGCGGCUUGACAAGUUGGAGGUGAAAGCCCGGAGCUCAACUUCGGAAUUGCCUUCAAGACUGUCUCGCUCGAGGCAGGGAGAGGAGAGCGGAAUACCCAGUGUAGAGGUGAAAUUCGUAGAUAUUGGGUGGAACACCGGUGGCGAAGGCGGCUCUCUGGCCCUGAUCUGACGCUAAGGCGCGAAAGCGUGGGGAGCAAACAGGAUUAGAUACCCUGGUAGUCCACGCCGUAAACUAUGAGUGCUAGAUGUUGGGAGGUUUACUUCUCAGUGUCGCAGCUAACGCAUUAAGCACUCCGCCUGGGGAGUACGGCCGCAAGGUUA
Molecule: ribosomal RNA, 375 nt
Filed under: uncultured bacterium
Lineage: Bacteria
Description: bacterial SSU rRNA
Rfam family: Bacterial small subunit ribosomal RNA
Source: RNAcentral